AACGAACGUUGGCGGCGUGGAUUAGGCAUGCAAGUCGAACGAAUCCCACCUUUGUAGCAAUACCGAGGUGGGGGAAGUGGCGAAAGGGGCAGUAAUGUGUGGGUAACCUACCCUGGGGACCGGGAUAGCCCUUCUAACGAGGGGGUAAUACCGGGCAAUGUGGCUGAGGGGCAUCUCUUGGCCACCAGAUGAAUUUCGCCCUGGGAGGGGCUCAUAUCGUAUUAGCUAGUUGGUGAGGUAACGGCUCACCAAGGCAAAGAUGCGUAGCGGGUGUGAGAGCACGACCCGCGCCACUGGCACUGAGACACUGGCCAGACACCUACGGGUGGCUGCAGUCGAGGAUCUUUGGCAAUGAGCGCAAGCUUGACCAAGCGACGCCGCGUGUGCGAUGAAGGCCUUCGGGUUGUAAAGCACUGUCGAGGGGGAUCAAAGGGCAACCUUGAGUGAUCCCUGGAGGAAGCACGGGCUAAGUUCGUGCCAGCAGCCGCAGUAAAAC
RNAcentral lists this ribosomal RNA (496 nucleotides) under uncultured bacterium. RNAcentral describes it as "bacterial SSU rRNA". It matches the Rfam family "Bacterial small subunit ribosomal RNA", at positions 29 to 526 of the family's 1533-position model. The record is from RNAcentral.